Molecule: ribosomal RNA, 774 nt
Filed under: uncultured Neocallimastigales
Lineage: Eukaryota; Fungi; Neocallimastigomycota; Neocallimastigomycetes; Neocallimastigales
Description: partial large subunit ribosomal RNA
Rfam family: Eukaryotic large subunit ribosomal RNA
Source: RNAcentral
UCAGACGAUGCGUCAUGCAUAUCAAUAAGCGGAGGAAAAGAAACUAACAAGGAUUCCCUUAGUAACGGCGAGUGAAGCGGGAAGAGCUCAAAUUUGAAAUCUUCAAGGUUUUACCUUGACGAAUUGUAGUUUAAAGAAGUGUUUUCUGCUGAAGUUUUGGUAAAAGUUCUUUGGAAUAGGACAUCAUAGAGGGUGAGAAUCCCGUAUUUGACCAUUAUUUUCAGCUUUGUGAUACACUUUCAAAGAGUCGGAUUGUUUGGGAAUGCAGUCCAAAAUGGGUGGUAAAUUUCAUCUAAAGCUAAAUAUUGGCGAGAGACCGAUAGCGAACAAGUACCGUGAGGGAAAGAUGAAAAGAACUUUGAAAAGAGAGUUAAACAGUACGCGAAAUUGUCAAAAGGGAAGCGUUUGACACCAGUGUUGUUUUUCCGAAAAUCAAUUACGAAUGGCUUGAUUUUGUGUUGUAUUGACCUUAUCAGCUUUCUGCACUUUUUUCGAGUCUUUCUUAAUGCACUUUUCGGUUAACAAGUCAACAUCAAUUUCUUUUGUUGUAAAAGAGUAUUCGGAAGGUGGCUUUCUUUUCGGAGAAAGUGUUUAUAGCCCUAUACUUCUACAAUCGGAGAGAUUGAGGUCUGCAGCGUAGAUCCUUCGGGGUUAGAUACAUUUGUGCUAAGUUAUAGCAUUUUAUAGACAACUUGUUGACUAUGAUUUGUCUUGUAGCUUACUCGCUUAUGUUAUUUUACCUACGCUUAGGAUGUUGAAGUCAUCGUAUCGCGC